This 1049-nucleotide ribosomal RNA is filed under the name Salmonella enterica. RNAcentral describes it as "partial 23S ribosomal RNA". It matches the Rfam family "Bacterial large subunit ribosomal RNA", at positions 711 to 1757 of the family's 2925-position model. Lineage: Bacteria; Pseudomonadati; Pseudomonadota; Gammaproteobacteria; Enterobacterales; Enterobacteriaceae. The record is from RNAcentral.
AGACCCGAAACCCGGUGAUCUAGCCAUGGGCAGGUUGAAGGUUGGGUAACACUAACUGGAGGACCGAACCGACUAAUGUUGAAAAAUUAGCGGAUGACCUGUGGCUGGGGGUGAAAGGCCAAUCAAACCGGGAGAUAGCUGGUUCUCCCCGAAAGCUAUUUAGGUAGCGCCUCGUGAACUCAUCUCCGGGGGUAGAGCACUGUUUCGGCUAGGGGGCCAUCCCGGCUUACCAACCCGAUGCAAACUGCGAAUACCGGAGAAUGUUAUCACGGGAGACACACGGCGGGUGCUAACGUCCGUCGUGAAGAGGGAAACAACCCAGACCGCCAGCUAAGGUCCCAAAGUCAUGGUUAAGUGGGAAACGAUGUGGGAAGGCCCAGACAGCCAGGAUGUUGGCUUAGAAGCAGCCAUCAUUUAAAGAAAGCGUAAUAGCUCACUGGUCGAGUCGGCCUGCGCGGAAGAUGUAACGGGGCUAAACCAUGCACCGAAGCUGCGGCAGCGACACUUUAGUGUUGUUGGGUAGGGGAGCGUUCUGUAAGCCGUUGAAGGUGUCCUGUGAGGGGUGCUGGAGGUAUCAGAAGUGCGAAUGCUGACAUAAGUAACGAUAAAGCGGGUGAAAAGCCCGCUCGCCGGAAGACCAAGGGUUCCUGUCCAACGUUAAUCGGGGCAGGGUGAGUCGACCCCUAAGGCGAGGCCGAAAGGCGUAGUCGAUGGGAAACGGGUUAAUAUUCCCGUACUUGGUGUUACUGCGAAGGGGGGACGGAGAAGGCUAUGUUGGCCGGGCGACGGUAGUCCCGGUUUAAGCGUGUAGGUGUGUGUUCCAGGCAAAUCCGGUUCACUUUAACACUGAGGCGUGAUGACGAGGCACCACGGUGCUGAAGCAACAAAUGCCCUGCUUCCAGGAAAAGCCUCUAAGCAUCAGGUAACAUCAAAUCGUACCCCAAACCGACACAGGUGGUCAGGUAGAGAAUACCAAGGCGCUUGAGAGAACUCGGGUGAAGGAACUAGGCAAAAUGGUGCCGUAACUUCGGGAGAAGGCACGCUGACAC